CAGCCGCGUAAUUCCAGCUCCAAUAGCGUAUAUUAAAGUUGUUGCAGUUAAAAAGCUCGUAGUUGAAUUUCGGGGUCUGUCCGUCGGUCGGGCUUCACGGUCCGUACUGGUGUGAUGGGUUCCUACCUUCUGAAUAACCGGCAUGCCAUUCAGUUGGUGCGCCGGGGAAGCAGAGCUAUUACCUUGAAAAAAUUAGAGUGCUUAAAGCAGGCUAGUGCUUGAAUAGAUUAGCAUGGAAUAAUAAAAUAGGACGGCAUGGUUCUAUUUUGUUGGUUUCUAGGAUCACCGUAAUGAUUAAUAGGGAUAGUUGGGGGCAUUAGUAUUCAAUUGUCAGAGGUGAAAUUCUUGGAUUUAUUGAAGACUAACUUCUGCGAAAGCAUUUGCCAAGGAUGUUUUCAUUAAUCAAGAACGAAAGUUAGGGGAUCGAAGACGAUCAGAUACCGUCGUAGUCUUAACCAUAAACUAUGCCGACUAGGGAUCGGACGAUGUUAAUUUUUUAAUGACUCGUUCGGCGCCUUACG
This 521-nucleotide ribosomal RNA is filed under the name uncultured Acaulospora. Its description in RNAcentral is "SSU rRNA". It matches the Rfam family "Eukaryotic small subunit ribosomal RNA", at positions 571 to 1092 of the family's 1831-position model. Lineage: Eukaryota; Fungi; Glomeromycota; Glomeromycetes; Diversisporales; Acaulosporaceae. The record is from RNAcentral.